Molecule: small nucleolar RNA, 86 nt
Filed under: Leishmania donovani
Lineage: Eukaryota; Euglenozoa; Kinetoplastea; Trypanosomatida; Trypanosomatidae
Description: C/D box snoRNA LD5Cs1C5
Source: RNAcentral
CGCAGGAUGCACAAAACUGAUUCAGGCGUGCCGACGCACGCAUCAGGAGCCCCCUGACUGAGAGACUAUCAUGCACCACUCUGAGG